GCCGAAGUGGUGAAAUUGGUAGACACGCAACGUUCAGGGCGUUGUGCUCGCAAGGGCAUGGGGGUUCGAGUCCCCCCUUCGGCAC
This 85-nucleotide transfer RNA is filed under the name Dictyobacter arantiisoli. Its description in RNAcentral is "tRNA-Leu". It matches the Rfam family "tRNA". From Rfam's summary of the family: Transfer RNA (tRNA) molecules are approximately 80 nucleotides in length. Their secondary structure includes four short double-helical elements and three loops (D, anti-codon, and T loops). Further hydrogen bonds mediate the characteristic L-shaped molecular structure. tRNAs have two regions of fundamental functional importance: the anti-codon, which is responsible for specific mRNA codon recognition, and the 3' end, to which the tRNAs corresponding amino acid is attached (by aminoacyl-tRNA synthetases). tRNAs cope with the degeneracy of the genetic code in two manners: having more than one tRNA (with a specific anti-codon) for a particular amino acid; and 'wobble' base-pairing, i.e. permitting non-standard base-pairing at the 3rd anti-codon position. RNAcentral also lists the same sequence under 2 other names. The record is from RNAcentral. Lineage: Bacteria; Bacillati; Chloroflexota; Ktedonobacteria; Ktedonobacterales; Dictyobacteraceae.